This 817-nucleotide ribosomal RNA is filed under the name uncultured Actinomycetes bacterium. Its description in RNAcentral is "bacterial SSU rRNA". It matches the Rfam family "Bacterial small subunit ribosomal RNA", at positions 335 to 1167 of the family's 1533-position model. Lineage: Bacteria; Bacillati; Actinomycetota; Actinomycetes. The record is from RNAcentral.
ACUCCUACGGGAGGCAGCAGUGGGGAAUAUUGCACAAUGGGCGAAAGCCUGAUGCAGCAACGCCGCGUGAGGGAUGACGGCCUUCGGGUUGUAAACCUCUUUUAGUUGGGAAGAAGGGAGUGACGGUACCAGCAGAAAAAGCACCGGCUAACUACGUGCCAGCAGCCGCGGUAAUACGUAGGGUGCAAGCGUUGUCCGGAAUUAUUGGGCGUAAAGAGCUCGUAGGCGGUUUGUCGCGUCUGCUGUGAAAUCUGGGGGCUCAACCCCCAGCCUGCAGUGGGUACGGGCAGACUAGAGUGCGGUAGGGGAGAUUGGAAUUCCUGGUGUAGCGGUGGAAUGCGCAGAUAUCAGGAGGAACACCGAUGGCGAAGGCAGAUCUCUGGGCCGUAACUGACGCUGAGGAGCGAAAGCAUGGGGAGCGAACAGGAUUAGAUACCCUGGUAGUCCAUGCCGUAAACGUUGGGAACUAGAUGUAGGGGCCAUUCCACGGUUUCUGUGUCGCAGCUAACGCAUUAAGUUCCCCACCUGGGGAGUACGGCCGCAAGGCUAAAACUCAAAGGAAUUGACGGGGGCCCGCACAAGCGGCGGAGCAUGCGGAUUAAUUCGAUGCAACGCGAAGAACCUUACCAAGGCUUGACAUAUACCGGAAACGUCCAGAGAUGGUCGCCCCGCAAGGUCGGUAUACAGGUGGUGCAUGGUUGUCGUCAGCUCGUGUCGUGAGAUGUUGGGUUAAGUCCCGCAACGAGCGCAACCCUCGUUCUAUGUUGCCAGCACGUUAUGGUGGGAACUCAUAGGAGACUGCCGGGGUCAACUCGGA